UUUUUCAUAGAAAAGUGACAGAAUCACAUUCUCCUUGAGCAAAAGCCUUACAUGCACCAAUGUAAUUAAUUCAAAAUUUUCUUUUUUAUAUGUAUUACCAAAAAACAGGAAUUGAAUUGGUAUAUUCAAAUUUCAAAAAUACAAACGUAAUCACGUAUAAAAUUACUUAAUUGCUCCAAUGAUAUGGUAAUGGUAUGACUUUUUUUGAAAAAAAGUGACAAAAUGUCACUCUACAUGAGCAAACACCUUGCACGCAUCCACGUACUCGAUUCAAAGUUUUCUUUUUCAUAUAUAUUACCAAAGAACAGGGGAUGAAUUAGUAUGUUCAAACUUUCAAAAAAGCAUACGUAUGCAUCAAGUUAAUUAUUCCAAUGAGAAAUGGUGAUUGUUUUGGAGAAAGGUCAUAAAAUGUCACAUUUUCGUCGAAAAGUGACACAAUGUCACUUUUUUUUAGAAAAGUAACAGAAUGUCAAUCUUCAUGAGCAAACAUCUUACAUGCAUCCAUGUAAGUGAAUCAGAGUUUUCUUUUUCAUAAAUACUACUAGAAAACAUGCCAUGAAUUAGUAUGUUCAUACUUUCAAAAAAGUACAUCUAUGCAUCAGGUUAAUUACUCCAAUAAUAAAGCGUGACUAUUUUGGAAAAAAAGUGGCAAAAUGCCGCUUUUUCUUAGAAAAGUGACACAAUGUCACUUUUUUUGAGAAAAAGUGAUAGAAUGUCAUACUUUCCAUGAGCAAACACCUUACACACAUCCAUGUAGUGGAUUCAAAGUUUUUUUUUUCCAUAUGUAUUAUCAGAAAACAAAGCAUAAAUUGGUAUGUUCAAAAUUUUAGAAAAGCACAUGUGUGCAUCUAAUUAAUUGCUCCAAUGAUAAAGUGUGACUAUUUUGGAGAAAGGUCACAGAAUGUCACUUUUUCGUAAAAAAGUGACACAACGUCACUUUUUUUUUAAGAAAAGUGACAGGAUGUCACCCUCUCCAUGUGCAAACACAUUGCAUGCAUCCAUAUAAUUGAUUCAAAGUUUUCAUUUUCAUAUGUAUUCUCACAUAACAGGGCAUGAAUUGGUAUGUUUAAAUUUUAAAAAAAGCACACGUAUGCAUCCGGUUAAUUGUUCCAAUGAUAAAGGGUGAUUGUUCUUGUAGAAAGGUAACGAAUGUCACCUUUUCGUUGAAAAGUGACAUAAUGUCACUUUUUUUAGAAAGGUGACAGUAUGUCACUCUUCAUGAUCAAACAUCUUGCAAGCAUCCAUGUAGUCGAUUCAAAGUUUUCUUUUUCAUAUGUAUUACCAAAAAAUAAGAUAUGAAUUAGUACAUUCAAAUUUUCAAAAAAGCACACAUAUGCAUCCGAUUAAUUACUCCAAUGAUAAAUAGUGACUGUUUUGGAGAAAGGUCACAAAAUGUCACUUUUUCUAAGAAAAGUGACAGAAUUCCACUUUCUCACCUUCUCCUAUGAGCAAACACAUUGCAAGCGUCAAUGCAAUUGGUUCAAAGUUUUCUUUCUCAUGUGUAUUACCAAAAAAUAUGACUUGAAUAUAUACAUUCAAAUUUCCAAAAACUCACACAUGUAUAUCUAGCUAAUUGC
Molecule: long non-coding RNA, 1577 nt
Filed under: Olea europaea (common olive)
Lineage: Eukaryota; Viridiplantae; Streptophyta; Magnoliopsida; Lamiales; Oleaceae
Description: long non-coding RNA (OEUR_LNC005340)
Source: RNAcentral